GAUACAGAGGUGAGUAAGCAAGUUUUCCAGCAUCAGCAGUCAUUUAAUGCUUACAGGGUGGAGAAGGCGAGGGAGAUAGCACAGACACCGCACCUCUGCAUAGAUUCACAUCUGGACGCGAUGAGCACCCGCCAGGCGGAAAACUCACAGGUGGCCCGGAGCCGCCGAGGAGGGAGGCGCGCGCUCCGCCCCGGGCCGCGGGAAGUCGCUCUCCUCAGCGGCCGCGCGACGAGCGGGCUGGGGGCGCUGCACGCCGCUCCUCGCCGCUGCUUGCUUGCUCGCCUCGCCUCGCGCGAGCCCGGCUCCCGCCCGCCCUUCCUCCCGCCCGGCUCGCGCCGCCGCCGGCCAAUGCGGGCCGCAGCGAGGAGCCGGCUUUAACCAUCUGUUGCGAGGCGCCUCCUCCUAGCGCUGCCGCCUCCCUUGCGGGGGGCUCCCGCCCAGGCACCCCUCCGAGGAGACAGAGAGCGAGGGGAGAGCUUUAUGCCUCGCUAAGGUGCUCUCUGCCCCCCGGAGCCUUCGGGGGCCGCGGCUGUUGCCCGUCUCCCUUCCCCCACGCGCCUCGCGCUCCCAUCCCCCCGUCCCCUCAGCGCCCUUCCCGCCGUCCGCUCGCCUCAGGGCGGUCCCUCCUGAGUGCCUUCGCUGUGAGGUGAGGGAAGAUCUCGACUGGGACCCCACGCUGUCCCCUUUUCGGGUGUUAGGUAGGAUAGGGAGGUUUCAGGGGGAGGGGGCCGAUCAGCCAAAAGGAGUUUCGUGUGCGGUCCCGUGCUCCUGGUGUUACGGGGGAAUAAAACCCUGAGCUGACACAACUUCCUUACGGCCCACUUAACGAUAACCACGGCUCUCCACAGGGGUGGCCGGAGCAGCGCGUCCCGUCCUGCUGGAAGGGCACGGCGCAGGCUCGGCUCUACCCGUGCGUGAUGAGACUUCUUAGACAUAUCCAGCGGUGAAGCCGCUCCAGGAGAGUCUAGACUCACAUUCACUGUUUAAAUAGGUUUGAGCUUCAGCCUUUCACGUUCCUAAUUUGAAGGUUUUUCCAUAAACGUGGACAACCUCUGGGCACACGGAUCUUCACUCCAGACGAUGGUAGCUCAGACGUUUGCAGUGGACACGUAAUCUUUACCCAGAGCAGACCCACAGUUUGUUUUACUUCUCCCUUUUGCAUACCUCCUUAUGGAUUUGAUACACACUGACAGUUUGGGGGAAAAUAAAUGCGUAGGAAGAGAUUUAAUCAUUUCCUUGCUAUAGAUCAUGCUUUGUAACCCAUUCCAUACAUUUUCAGCAGAUUCCCCACUGAAAAAAAAACAGGAGUGAGAAGCUAAUUUCAUCCCAUACAGAUCCCAGGCUAAUAUUUUUAUGACAAUGUGUCAUGAAAAUAAUGCAAAUUCUUUUCAACUUUCACCAACUUGAAGCUAAGAAAACAGUCUUGAGAUGCCUGCUGUGGGAUGAUAAAAAAUAUACGUAGUGCAUGUGUUAAAUCAAGUUCUAAAUGAAAUUUAGUCUUUUUUUUUUUUGAAACUGUCACAUUGCUAUUUCUCACUAUAGCAAUUUCUGAGCAGAGAGCUAGAAGCUGUAACUAGAGUAUGGAUGAAAUGUGUUUUGUAGCUCUGUGUAUUCCUGCAUUACUUUCUUGCAUUUUCUUCGCUAUCUUCAG
RNAcentral lists this long non-coding RNA (1651 nucleotides) under Gallus gallus (chicken). The record is from RNAcentral. Lineage: Eukaryota; Metazoa; Chordata; Aves; Galliformes; Phasianidae.